This 592-nucleotide ribosomal RNA is filed under the name uncultured bacterium. RNAcentral's name for it is "bacterial SSU rRNA". It matches the Rfam family "Bacterial small subunit ribosomal RNA", at positions 65 to 644 of the family's 1533-position model. The record is from RNAcentral.
AACGAUUGUUUUGAAGCUUCGGUGGAAGAACAAGGCGACGAGUGGCGGACGGGUGAGUAACGCGUAGGAAUCUGCCCUGAAGAGAGGGACAACCCGGGGAAACUCGNGCUAAUACCUCGUAAUCUCUUUUGAGCAAAGGUGCCCUUUGGGUAUCACUUUAGGAUGAGCCUGCGUUAGAUUAGCUAGUUGGUAAGGUAAAGGCUUACCAAGGCGACGAUCUAUAGCUGUUCUGAGAGGAAGAUCAGCCACACUGGGACUGAGACACGGCCCAGACUCCUACGGGAGGCAGCAGUGGGGAAUAUUGGACAAUGGGGGCAACCCUGAUCCAGCGAUGCCGCGUGUGUGAAGAAGGCCUGCGGGUUGUAAAGCACUUUUAGUGAGGAGGAAGAGCCUAAUGUAAAUAAUGUUAGGUAGUGACGUUACUCACAGAAAAAGCACCGGCUAACUCUGUGCCAGCAGCCGCGGUAAUACAGANGNGUGCAAGCGUUAAUCGGACUGACUGGGCGUNAAGGGCAUGUANGGUGGAUGUAGAAGUUAGAUGUGNAAUACACGGGGCUCAACCUGUGGGGCUGCAUCUAAACUGGACAUCUAG